This 277-nucleotide ribosomal RNA is filed under the name Klebsiella pneumoniae subsp. pneumoniae KPNIH21. Its description in RNAcentral is "partial 23S ribosomal RNA". It matches the Rfam family "Bacterial large subunit ribosomal RNA", at positions 2656 to 2925 of the family's 2925-position model. Lineage: Bacteria; Pseudomonadati; Pseudomonadota; Gammaproteobacteria; Enterobacterales; Enterobacteriaceae. The record is from RNAcentral.
GGAGAAUUGAGGGGGGCUGCUCCUAGUACGAGAGGACCGGAGUGGACGCAUCACUGGUGUUCGGGUUGUCAUGCCAAUGGCACUGCCCGGUAGCUAAAUGCGGAAGAGAUAAGUGCUGAAAGCAUCUAAGCACGAAACUUGCCCCGAGAUGAGUUCUCCCUGAGACUUUAAGUCUCCUGAAGGAACGUUAAAGACGAUGACGUUGAUAGGCCGGGUGUGUAAGCGCAGCGAUGCGUUGAGCUAACCGGUACUAAUGAACCGUGAGGCUUAACCUUAC